Molecule: long non-coding RNA, 662 nt
Organism: Odontomachus brunneus
Lineage: Eukaryota; Metazoa; Arthropoda; Insecta; Hymenoptera; Formicidae
Exons: 5
Source: RefSeq, a predicted model, not a curated record
ACCGGCCGCCGCAGCGAUCGCGUCGAAAGCCUGCUCCCGUUCCUCCCUUUAUCUCCCAUCUUUUCAACCGGAUUUUCAUGAGCAGGGCGAGACUUCGCGAGCGCGAAGCUUCUAGAAGCGCCGGAGCACGUAGGCCCCUCUGUCUGUCUCACUCGCGGUCACAUUGGCGGCCUCACUCUCGCUCGCUGUCCUUUCUCGGGCUGUCCUUUCUCGAGCUUUCCACAGCAGGAUUUUCGUGAGCGGUACGCGCCUUGUCAUAAAUACUGCGUCGUAGUAACAGUGUUUUCGAGUGAACAUCACGAAUGUGUCGUGUGGAAUUUGACAAGAGGAAUAAGGAGUAAGAGGAGAAGGAGAAGGAGAAGGGCGAGGACUUCUUGUAGACGUAGCUACGAAUAGUGGUAGACACGUAGAGAACUUCAAACUCUGAAAUUGACCCGACGGAGCUUACGACCACAUUGCGAGGGUGGAAGCUGUUCCGGUGGAUGCGAAUGCCGUACCGGAGGAUCCGGUUCGGGCAAAGCAGGGUCGGCUUGAAGAUUUUGCAGCUCAACGUGGCCGGCCCUGGCUGUUCGGUGAGUGAAAUAUGGGAAAAUGAUAAACAUUCAAGGUGGUGGCUUUGACGGGUUCUUGCUAAAUUUUAUUCGUAUCAAUUUUUCGUCGAA